Long non-coding RNA from Rhinopithecus roxellana (golden snub-nosed monkey), 419 nucleotides. RefSeq lists it as uncharacterized. NCBI's taxonomy places the organism in Eukaryota, Metazoa, Chordata, Mammalia, Primates, Cercopithecidae. The transcript is spliced from 2 exons. The record is from RefSeq and is a predicted model, not a curated record.
UGAUUGUGAUUCCUGCUAUAAGGAUAAUGAUUAGGCAGAAGGCUCAAGUGAGGGAGACUUCUUGGCUGGUAUUCCAAUCGAAAGGAGUUACACUAUAUAGGGCACAGGUCAACUGCGCAGGCGCAGCAUGACGUCCGACCGAGGAAAUCGAAACCUACCUGGCCGCGCCCACCUCACGGCCCUCGACCCACCCGCAUCCCGCCUACCGCCCUCCCACUCCCACUCCCAGGCCCAAGACAUAAAAGCUGCUCCCGGCAGGCGCGCGGCGUGAACUUCCUCGGCCCCUCCUCAUACGCGGACCUAGGAACCUUGCCCGAGAACGCCGGAGCGACUUCCUUGGCCUCCGCUGCCAGAGACCGGUGAACUUCGCCCCCUCUUUCUAUACAUUGGCUACAUAAUAAAGUUUCCUUUUUAUCUUG